Molecule: ribosomal RNA, 372 nt
Filed under: uncultured organism
Description: bacterial SSU rRNA
Rfam family: Bacterial small subunit ribosomal RNA
Source: RNAcentral
CAGAGGUCCCGAGCGUUGUUCGGAUUCACUGGGCGUAAAGGGUGCGUAGGCGGUCGGGUAAGUCUGAUGUGAAAUCUCACAGCUUAACUGUGAAACUGCAUUGGAUACUAUUCGGCUUGAGAGUUGGAGGGGGGACUGGAAUUCUUGGUGUAGCAGUGAAAUGCGUAGAUAUCAAGAGGAACACCAGUGGCGAAGGCGAGUCCCUGGACAACUUCUGACGCUGAGGCACGAAAGCUAGGGGAGCAAACAGGAUUAGAUACCCUGGUAGUCCUAGCCGUAAACGGUGCUUAUUUGCUGUAAAAGGAAUCGACCCCUUUUGUGGCGUAGCAAACGCGUUAAAUAAGCCGCCUGGGAAGUACGGUCGCAAGAUUA